AGUCGAGCGGUAGAGAGAAGCUUGCUUCUCUUGAGAGCGGCGGACGGGUGAGUAAUGCCUAGGAAUCUGCCUGGUAGUGGGGGAUAACGUUCGGAAACGGACGCUAAUACCGCAUACGUCCUACGGGAGAAAGCAGGGGACCUUCGGGCCUUGCGCUAUCAGAUGAGCCUAGGUCGGAUUAGCUAGUUGGUGGGGUAAUGGCUCACCAAGGCGACGAUCCGUAACUGGUCUGAGAGGAUGAUCAGUCACACUGGAACUGAGACACGGUCCAGACUCCUACGGGAGGCAGCAGUGGGGAAUAUUGGACAAUGGGCGAAAGCCUGAUCCAGCCAUGCCGCGUGUGUGAAGAAGGUCUUCGGAUUGUAAAGCACUUUAAGUUGGGAGGAAGGGCAGUAAAUUAAUACUUUGCUGUUUUGACGUUACCGACAGAAUAAGCACCGGCUAACUCUGUGCCAGCAGCCGCGGUAAUACAGAGGGUGCAAGCGUUAAUCGGAAUUACUGGGCGUAAAGCGCGCGUAGGUGGUUAGUUAAGUUGGAUGUGAAAUCCCCGGGCUCAACCUGGGAACUGCAUUCAAAACUGACUGACUAGAGUAUGGUAGAGGGUGGUGGAAUUUCCUGUGUAGCGGUGAAAUGCGUAGAUAUAGGAAGGAACACCAGUGGCGAAGGCGACCACCUGGACUGAUACUGACACUGAGGUGCGAAAGCGUGGGGA
This 712-nucleotide ribosomal RNA is filed under the name uncultured bacterium. RNAcentral describes it as "bacterial SSU rRNA". It matches the Rfam family "Bacterial small subunit ribosomal RNA", at positions 60 to 767 of the family's 1533-position model. The record is from RNAcentral.